This 429-nucleotide ribosomal RNA is filed under the name Acidobacteriota bacterium. Its description in RNAcentral is "Acidobacteria bacterium partial 16S ribosomal RNA". It matches the Rfam family "Bacterial small subunit ribosomal RNA", at positions 355 to 776 of the family's 1533-position model. The record is from RNAcentral. Lineage: Bacteria; Pseudomonadati; Acidobacteriota.
UGGGGAAUUUUGGACAAUGGGGGAAACCCUGAUCCAGCCAUCCCGCGUGUGCGAUGAAGGCCUUCGGGUUGUAAAGCACUUUUGGCAGGAAAGAAACGUCAUGGGUUAAUACCCCGUGAAACUGACGGUACCUGCAGAAUAAGCACCGGCUAACUACGUGCCAGCAGCCGCGGUAAUACGUAGGGUGCAAGCGUUAAUCGGAAUUACUGGGCGUAAAGCGUGCGCAGGCGGUUCGGAAAGAAAGAUGUGAAAUCCCAGGGCUCAACUUUGGAACUGCAUUUUUAACUACCGGGCUAGAGUGUGUCAGAGGGAGGUGGAAUUCCGCGUGUAGCAGUGAAAUGCGUAGAUAUGCGGAGGAACACCGAUGGCGAAGGCAGCCUCCUGGGAUACCACUGACGCUCAUGCACGAAAGCGUGGGGAGCAAACAGG